This 613-nucleotide ribosomal RNA is filed under the name Saccharomyces cerevisiae (brewer's yeast). RNAcentral's name for it is "partial large subunit ribosomal RNA". It matches the Rfam family "Eukaryotic large subunit ribosomal RNA", at positions 41 to 668 of the family's 3401-position model. The record is from RNAcentral. Lineage: Eukaryota; Fungi; Ascomycota; Saccharomycetes; Saccharomycetales; Saccharomycetaceae.
UAUCAAUAAGCGGAGGAAAAGAAACCAACCGGGAUUGCCUUAGUAACGGCGAGUGAAGCGGCAAAAGCUCAAAUUUGAAAUCUGGUACCUUCGGUGCCCGAGUUGUAAUUUGGAGAGGGCAACUUUGGGGCCGUUCCUUGUCUAUGUUCCUUGGAACAGGACGUCAUAGAGGGUGAGAAUCCCGUGUGGCGAGGAGUGCGGUUCUUUGUAAAGUGCCUUCGAAGAGUCGAGUUGUUUGGGAAUGCAGCUCUAAGUGGGUGGUAAAUUCCAUCUAAAGCUAAAUAUUGGCGAGAGACCGAUAGCGAACAAGUACAGUGAUGGAAAGAUGAAAAGAACUUUGAAAAGAGAGUGAAAAAGUACGUGAAAUUGUUGAAAGGGAAGGGCAUUUGAUCAGACAUGGUGUUUUGUGCCCUCUGCUCCUUGUGGGUAGGGGAAUCUCGCAUUUCACUGGGCCAGCAUCAGUUUUGGUGGCAGGAUAAAUCCAUAGGAAUGUAGCUUGCCUCGGUAAGUAUUAUAGCCUGUGGGAAUACUGCCAGCUGGGACUGAGGACUGCGACGUAAGUCAAGGAUGCUGGCAUAAUGGUUAUAUGCCGCCCGUCUUGAAACACGGACCA